GUUGUAUGGUUAAGUGACUAAGCGUACACGGUGGAUGCCUGGGCAGUCAGAGGCGAUGAAGGACGUACUAACUUGCGAUAAGCGCAGAUGAGGCAGUAAGAGCCGUUUGAGUCUGCGAUUUCCGAAUGGGGAAACCCAACUGCAUAAGCAGUUACUGUUAACUGAAUACAUAGGUUAACAGAGCAAACCGGGGGAACUGAAACAUCUAAGUACCCCGAGGAGAAGAAAUCAACCGAGAUUCCGGUAGUAGCGGCGAGCGAACCUGGAUUAGCCCUUAAGCACUCGGUGAAGUAGGUGAACAAGCUGGAAAGCUUGGCGAUACAGGGUGAUAGCCCCGUAACCGACGCUUCAUCGAGCGUGAAAUCGAGUAGGGCGGGACACGUGAUAUCCUGUCUGAAUAUGGGGGGACCAUCCUCCAAGGCUAAAUACUCCUGACUGACCGAUAGUGAACCAGUACCGUGAGGGAAAGGCGAAAAGAACCCCUGUGAGGGGAGUGAAAUAGAACCUGAAACCGUGUACGUACAAGCAGUAGGAGCACCUUCGUGGUGUGACUGCGUACCUUUUGUAUAAUGGGUCAGCGACUUAUAUUCAGUGGCAAGGUUAACCGUAUAGGGGAGCCGUAGCGAAAGCGAGUCUUAACUGGGCGUUCAGUCUCUGGAUAUAGACCCGAAACCGGGUGAUCUAGCCAUGGGCAGGUUGAAGGUUGAGUAACAUCAACUGGAGGACCGAACCGACUAAUGUUGAAAAAUUAGCGGAUGACUUGUGGCUAGGGGUGAAAGGCCAAUCAAACUCGGAGAUAGCUGGUUCUCCCCGAAAGCUAUUUAGGUAGCGCCUCGGACGAAUACUACUGGGGGUAGAGCACUGUUAAGGCUAGGGGGUCAUCCCGACUUACCAACCCUUUGCAAACUCCGAAUACCAGUAAGUACUAUCCGGGAGACACACGGCGGGUGCUAACGUCCGUCGUGGAGAGGGAAACAACCCAGACCGCCAGCUAAGGUCCCAAAGUAUUGCUAAGUGGGAAACGAUGUGGGAAGGCUCAGACAGCUAGGAUGUUGGCUUAGAAGCAGCCAUCAUUUAAAGAAAGCGUAAUAGCUCACUAGUCGAGUCGGCCUGCGCGGAAGAUGUAACGGGGCUAAGCAAUACACCGAAGCUGCGGCAAUAUCUUUUAGAUAUUGGGUAGGGGAGCGUUCUGUAAGCCGUUGAAGGUGAAUCGUAAGGUUUGCUGGAGGUAUCAGAAGUGCGAAUGCUGACAUGAGUAACGACAAAGGGGGUGAAAAACCUCCUCGCCGGAAGACCAAGGGUUCCUGUCCAACGUUAAUCGGGGCAGGGUGAGUCGACCCCUAAGGUGAGGCCGAAAGGCGUAAUCGAUGGGAAACGGGUUAAUAUUCCCGUACUUCUGACUAUUGCGAUGGGGGGACGGAGAAGGCUAGGUGGGCCAGGCGACGGUUGUCCUGGUUCAAGUGCGUAGGCUUGAGAGUUAGGUAAAUCCGGCUCUCUCUAAGGCUGAGACACGACGUCGAGCUACUACGGUAGUGAAGUCAUUGAUGCCAUGCUUCCAGGAAAAGCCUCUAAGCUUCAGAUAGUCAGGAAUCGUACCCCAAACCGACACAGGUGGUCGGGUAGAGAAUACCAAGGCGCUUGAGAGAACUCGGGUGAAGGAACUAGGCAAAAUGGUACCGUAACUUCGGGAGAAGGUACGCUCUUGAUGGUGAAGUCCCUCGCGGAUGGAGCUGACGAGAGUCGCAGAUACCAGGUGGCUGCAACUGUUUAUUAAAAACACAGCACUGUGCAAAAUCGCAAGAUGACGUAUACGGUGUGACGCCUGCCCGGUGCCGGAAGGUUAAUUGAUGGGGUUAGCGCAAGCGAAGCUCUUGAUCGAAGCCCCGGUAAACGGCGGCCGUAACUAUAACGGUCCUAAGGUAGCGAAAUUCCUUGUCGGGUAAGUUCCGACCUGCACGAAUGGCGUAAUGAUGGCCACGCUGUCUCCACCCGAGACUCAGUGAAAUUGAAAUCGCUGUGAAGAUGCAGUGUACCCGCGGCUAGACGGAAAGACCCCGUGAACCUUUACUACAGCUUGGCACUGAACAUUGAACCUACAUGUGUAGGAUAGGUGGGAGGCUAUGAAGACGUGACGCCAGUUGCGUUGGAGCCGUCCUUGAAAUACCACCCUUGUAUGUUUGAUGUUCUAACUUAGCCCCAUUAUCUGGGGUGAGGACAGUGCCUGGUGGGUAGUUUGACUGGGGCGGUCUCCNACCCGUUAUCCGGGUUGAGGACAGUGCCUGGUGGGUAGUUUGACUGGGGCGGUCUCCUCCCAAAGAGUAACGGAGGAGCACGAAGGUGGGCUAAUCACGGUUGGACAUCGUGAGGUUAGUGCAAUGGCAUAAGCCCGCUUAACUGCGAGAAUGACGGUUCGAGCAGGUGCGAAAGCAGGUCAUAGUGAUCCGGUGGUUCUGUAUGGAAGGGCCAUCGCUCAACGGAUAAAAGGUACUCCGGGGAUAACAGGCUGAUACCGCCCAAGAGUUCAUAUCGACGGCGGUGUUUGGCACCUCGAUGUCGGCUCAUCACAUCCUGGGGCUGAAGUCGGUCCCAAGGGUAUGGCUGUUCGCCAUUUAAAGUGGUACGCGAGCUGGGUUUAGAACGUCGUGAGACAGUUCGGUCCCUAUCUGCCGUGGGCGUUGGAAGAUUGAAGGGGGCUGCUCCUAGUACGAGAGGACCGGAGUGGACGAACCUCUGGUGUUCGGGUUGUGUCGCCAGACGCAUUGCCCGGUAGCUAAGUUCGGAAUUGAUAAGCGCUGAAAGCAUCUAAGCGCGAAGCGAGCCCUGAGAUGAGUCUUCCCUGA
RNAcentral lists this ribosomal RNA (2840 nucleotides) under Vibrio cholerae. RNAcentral describes it as "partial 23S ribosomal RNA". It matches the Rfam family "Bacterial large subunit ribosomal RNA". The record is from RNAcentral. Lineage: Bacteria; Pseudomonadati; Pseudomonadota; Gammaproteobacteria; Vibrionales; Vibrionaceae.